Molecule: ribosomal RNA, 413 nt
Filed under: uncultured bacterium
Lineage: Bacteria
Description: partial 16S ribosomal RNA
Rfam family: Bacterial small subunit ribosomal RNA
Source: RNAcentral
AAUAUUGCGCAAUGGAGGGAACUCUGACGCAGCGACGCCGCGUGAGCGAUGAAGGUCUUCGGAUCGUAAAGCUCUGUCCUUGGGGAAGAAGGGUGUUUUAUAGCAUCUUGACAGUACCCGAGGAGGAAGCCCCGGCUAACUACGUGCCAGCAGCCGCGGUAAUACGUAGGGGGCAAGCUUUGUCCGGAAUUAUUGGGCGUAAAGGGUGCGUAGGCGGCCUUUUAAGUCAGGUGUGAAAGCCCACGGCUUAACCGUGGGAUUGCAUUUGAAACUGGAAGGCUUGAGUAUCGGAGAGGGUAGUGGAAUUCCCAGUGUAGCGGUGAAAUGCGUAGAUAUUGGGAGGAACACCAGUGGCGAAGGCGACUACCUGGACGAAAACUGACGCUGAUGCACGAAAGCUAGGGGAGCAAACA